RNAcentral lists this long non-coding RNA (1011 nucleotides) under Canis lupus familiaris (dog). RNAcentral's name for it is "lncRNA (ENSCAFG00030024770.1, ENSCAFG00040006763.1, ENSCAFG00845014571.1)". Lineage: Eukaryota; Metazoa; Chordata; Mammalia; Carnivora; Canidae. The record is from RNAcentral.
AUGCCCCCCAACCCCCCCGUGGCCCUGGGGGUCCUGGCCUGGGCAGAGGUUAGAGCUAGGGCAGUUCCUGCUACUCUUCAGGGUGAUGAAACCAUCACUGUGCCCCAGGCAGUGGUGAGGCAAUGCACGGCCCCACCCAGGGCUGAGUCAGACUCUCUGGGGGUGGGGCCCUGGCAUCAGAGUUGGAACACACUUUCAGAAGAUUCUUGGAGGCGUGGGGGGUGGUGGGCAGGUGCGGAGUUCCCUCCCACCUGCCACCUCGGCCCCGGCUUCUCCCUGUCCUCCCUUUCCAGGGUCUGGGCUCUGCCCCUGUCUGGAAGUCGGCUCCCGCCCUCACCAAGUCCUCACUACCUUGCCCGCUGGACGCCCCCUCGAACCUCCAGGGCACCUCCCUCUCUCAUGCCCCACACAGAUGCCAGACCCCAGAUUGGAAACUGCUCCUGCCGGUCCCUCCAGCAGCACCUGCGACCCCAAGCCCCCAUCCAGUGGCCUUCGAACAGGGCUCCCAUGGUCCCUCUAGCGCCCUCCAGUCCAGUCGACAGCCAAGGCUGGAAAAAUGCAAAUCUGAUCACACGGCCUCUACUGGCCUUCCUGGGCUCUCAGGGCGUAAGUCAAACUCAAGGGAGGCUGUCGCUGCAACACAGAAAUGGCAAACAAAAGGGAACAGAGCUCGGAGUGGUUGACGCCACCCAGCUAGGCGUUCAAGGGCAGUUGGGGGUGGGGGGCCCAGGUCUCUUGCGGAGCCGCUCCAGGGGAUCGUGGAGCUGGCACUGCCACCAAAACCAUCACCAGACCUUUGUCAUGCUGCUUAGUCUGCACCAUGCGCCCCAAGAGACUGCCUUGCCCUGCCCUUCCCAGCUGCUUCACUGCUACCUGUCCCUCGUCCCUCACAGAGGCUGCCUGGUCCACCCAGCCCUGGGCAGUCCCCCAGAGCUCCCUGGGCCUUCCGUCAGGGAUCCCAUGUCUGUUCCUAUGAUUGCCGAUGUCUGUCUGGAACAGAAAGUUCCCUGA